RNAcentral lists this ribosomal RNA (428 nucleotides) under uncultured prokaryote. Its description in RNAcentral is "bacterial SSU rRNA". It matches the Rfam family "Bacterial small subunit ribosomal RNA", at positions 355 to 774 of the family's 1533-position model. The record is from RNAcentral.
UGAGGAAUAUUGCGCAAUGGGGGCAACCCUGACGCAGCAACGCCGCGUGAGUGAGGAAGGUUUUCGGACCGUAAAGCUCUGUCGAGCGGGAAGAAAUGCAUGGUGGCUAAUAUCCAUCAUGCUUGACGGUACCGCUAAAGGAAGCACCGGCUAACUCCGUGCCAGCAGCCGCGGUAAUACGGGGGGUGCAAGCGUUGUUCGGAAUUAUUGGGCGUAAAGAGCGUGUAGGCGGCUGGAUAAGUCAGAUGUGAAAUCCCUGGGCUUAACCCAGGACGUGCAUUUGAAACUGUCCAGCUUGAGUAAGGGAGAGGAAAGUGGAAUUCCUGGUGUAGAGGUGAAAUUCGUAGAUAUCAGGAGGAACACCGGUGGCGAAGGCGACUUUCUGGCCCUAUACUGACGCUGAGACGCGAGAGCGUGGGUAGCAAACA